AGAGCCCCGGGGCGUGUGCACUGGAGGUGGGGCCCCAGGUGCGCAGGUGGCUGUCUCGGAGGUUUGUGUAGGGGGAUUGGCAGUUUCUGGAUCCUUCCUCCAUGAUUUUCAGCACAGGGGAGCUCUCCUUUCUGCAGUGUGGAGGAGCGCUGGGCAGGAGGCGGCGCUGAGGGAGCCUGCCUUGAUCUCUGCAAUCAUGAAUGUGGCUGAGCAAAUGCAGCUUGUACCUGCUGGAUGGAUACACCUCCCAGAUGCUCUGUUGCUAGAAGGUUCCUGGCAGUGCAGGGAAAGGUGGCUCUGCAGGUGGAGGCUCCACAUAAUGGGCUCAAAACAUCUGGUCCAGUGGUUAAAAGCUGUUCACAGGGGUGACUGGACCCCACUAAGCAUUCUUUCGUCUGUAGUGAAUAUUUCACCAAAAACAGCUCUAGGAAAGGCUGGAGGAUCAGUACUAUGUGCUCAAGCCAUGGCCACGCCCUCCAUCUUCCACCUGACCGAGAAGUGGGGGCUGAAGGCCACGGCCGCUCCAGGAGAAAGGACACUAGGAAGGCCACCGGGGGCCUGAGGAACAUGUGCGUGAAGCAGAUGGGAAAGGAGUUUCAGGUUUAUUGUGGUCCUUGAGGGAAAAGCUGAGGGCCCAGCCGUGGUCCCGCAAGUGGAAGUAACCCGCUCUGCAGGGUGAACACGCACCCAGUGCCGCCCAGGAAGCUGCCAGUCAGGAUUGGGCGCAAUCUCUGGAAGGAACUCCAGGAGACAGUGUGGCCUCCACAGCAUUAGGCAGCCAAGGAGAUGCAAACACGUCUGCUGUAGAUGCUGGUGAUGAGACCCCCUCUUCCCAGCCAGGGCCUGCUGGGUAAGAGUGGCAUUUCCGUGGAUGACUUUAUCCCUCAGGAUUGGGGCGUGUAGAUUUAUUGGCUGGCUUCCUUCUUACAGUUUCUUCUCAGAGCACACUCAAGAGAGGCCAUCUGUCCCUUGAGAGGCUGUUGACCAAAAGAGGCUGAAGAAGGAUGUGGAGCCCAGCUGCAGCGGGACCAGCCUGGGGCCUGAUGAGAGCUUGGCCCAGAACCCCCAAGUUCAUCAUUCACAAUGAUGCCUCAGAAACCCUCCCAGAGCCCCUCCACCCUCCGACGGAUGUCACCCUGAAGCCAGCCGCAGAAGCUGUGCGGGGCGAGCACAGCAACACCGGCCCCACGUCCCUCAGCUGAGUCAUCCUGUCAGCACUGGGGGCCCAAGAUCUCCUCGACUGCUGCACUCCUACUGCUUCUGCUCCAGGAGGAACAGGAGCACGGGUGCCGCCUGCGGGAGCAGGUGGAGAAGAACGGUGAGCUGAAGAGGGGCAGCCGCCGACAACCAGGUGCACAAGCUGCAGGAGGAGCUGGACGAGCUGAAGGGAGGGGCUCCCUGCCUUAGCAGCCUGCUGCCCCCCGCCGAGGUCAAACACCAAGGGUAGAGGUAGUCAAGAGAUCAAGUCUAAUCUACCUACGGGUGUGGCAGGCUUACCUAUGGAUGUUCAAGCCAGACAUUGCCAGAAGAACUACAUCUCUUCACCCAUAGAAAAAUGAAUGAUGUGACCAUUUGGUGCAGGACAACAGCAUUAUGUUCACCAGUCUCUGUACUGUAUGUUACUGCACAGCAUGGACUGUAGGAAAAAGCCCAGAGGAGCAAUGAAGACAAAGAAGACACGACACCUGCAAAAAGUCAGUGGAGUAUUUCUACACAACAAACCUUCCAGGUGAGUGACGGUCAGUAUCUUCCACUGCUCCAGCUCUCGCAAGAAACCUAGUACCUUCCCAGGGUAAGCUGGAGGACCACGGCCCACUAGUCCACUCCCCGCCCAGGGCCUGUUUGUGCAGGGUGACUGCCAUCAAGCAGACAAUGGACUCAGGAUGGGGCCUGUGUCUUUGGGGAGGCUGGUAGAGAGGCACAAAGUCGAACACCAGCUAAGGGCACACACCUGAGAGGUGGAGUUCCAGGUGGAGACUCAAAAUGUACCAAGACACUGCAUGAAGGAAGCUACUCGACCUCCCUGAGCCUCAGUGUCCCCCCCUGUAAAAUGGGAAUCACAGGCCUACUUCACAGAGCUGUUGGGGAAGAUACAUAAAAGUGCCUGUGACAGUCAGUGUCCACAUUAUUAACAAAGUCGUCUCCAACUUCAGAAUAAUCGAUGAAAAGAGUAAUGUUGAUGAGACCAAAGACGAGAUGCCCAGCUUCAUAACAGCCCCAGCAGCAUGAGAAUGAGAGGAGCUCCGAGUAAGCAGGGUUCUUCACAGCUCCACUGGAGAGGAUGAACAUGGGCUACACCAGGAUAAGCGGCUGUUGUACAGUGACUCGUGUAGUGAGGGUUCUCCGCCACCAACUUCCAUAACCAUCAGGAUAUUCUACAACUUCUGCAAGAGUAACAAUUUUGCCUUACACUGUAUUUAUCUCAUGUGGUUUAAAACAUCCAGAAAUCAUUGAUAAACUGACCCUGCCCAAACUAAAGCAUGGUGAGUUAUAAAAGAUGGUCGCUGUUAAGUGGGGAGGGAUUGCAGGUUGAACUUAAUUUUAUAAGUGGUCAAUUUAUUACAAUAUAUUGUUCUAUUAUCUAUUUCACUUCUUUUUUUAAAAAAGUGAUAUUUGAGGGCACUUAGAUAAUAAAAAGUUGAGAAGAUAACGAACUGAUAUACUCUGUAAGCUUGAAAUGUUUUCAAGCAUAAGAUACAAUAAGAACUAAAACUAAGAAAUGGCAGAGGAAAUAGAGAUAAGAGGAUGAAAUUGCAAAACUGAAUCUAUAAUAAUAUCUCAAUGGCUAGCGCUGUGGUGCCAAGAAGGUGGUGAAGUCAAAGAAUUCGUAAAGAUGAUAAUAGACUGCAAAGAAAAAAGACUGAAAUUUUUGUAGAGAGAAUUUUUACAGCGAUAUUACAGAUAGAGAACAGGGAAGAGAAGUUGGAGUGAGAGACUAUCUUCUUAAAUUACUUCCACUGUAGAGAACAAAAAACCAAUUUGCUGAAAUCUUUAUUCCCUUCUAUGACCCUGUGGAAGAUGAAGAUUUGGCCAACCUGAAAUCUAUCUCUUUACCUUGGUUGUUUUCUCUGAGGGCAUUUGACCUCCCCCACUAACUGCCUAAAGAAUUUAAAACAAAACAUCUGUUUCAGGAAGGACUUAUUAUCAUGAUGGCUGUAAAUAUAAUGUACAAUAGAUGUUACAAUAGAAAAGACACCAACAAGCCUAUCUUAUCAGAAGUUCUGUCUCUGACCAUAUUCUUUGGAUGGCCCUGCAAGGAGUUGCCAGACAGACAUUUACAUUUAUAAGGGAAAUCUCCAUUUGUAAAGGUAUCUGCCUCUCUGAAUUGGGAAGAGGGGGAAUGACCUCAUUUCUAGAAACUUAUCAAUGUAAAAGGUGAGGCCUUAAAUCUGCAUAAUAACCUCACUCUUGUUUACUGUGCUUUAGUGGUAAUCUCCUGUAACUGACUCCCCCCACCCCCAACAUCUUCCUUUGUCAUUGGCUGAACAUGAUAUUUAAGAUGAGAAUUCUGCUAUUGUGUUGAGAAACGCAGUGUCCUUGCUUUCUCCCAUGCAUACAUGUUAUUAAACUUGGUAUUAUUUUCUCCUUCUAA
Long non-coding RNA from Diceros bicornis minor, 3592 nucleotides. RefSeq lists it as uncharacterized. Lineage: Eukaryota; Metazoa; Chordata; Mammalia; Perissodactyla; Rhinocerotidae. The transcript is spliced from 6 exons. The record is from RefSeq and is a predicted model, not a curated record.